GGUUGCAAAAAAAGUGGUUUAAAAUGCAAUAAAUUUUGUAAAAGUUGCCAAGGCCAAAGCUGUGAUAACGCUUCUGCAAGAUCGUUUAAUCUUGAGGAUGAUGAAAAUGAAGAUAAAGAAGAUGAAGAAAGAGAUGAUAGUGAUGAUGAAAAUGAUGAUGAUGGAAAUGUUUAUGAGGAUGAAAAUGAUGGUGAAGAAGAAACUACUGUCGAAGACGGAGAACAAGAAAAUGAAGCUAUAUGUACAGGACGUAAAACUGUUAAAAACACUCGUUCAAAAGUAUCCACACAAAAGAUUUUUUGUGGUUGUAGAACCAAUUGUGCAUCAGCAAGAUGUAGUUGUAGAAAAAGUUCUCUCAAAUGUAAUGAAUUAUGCAAGUUUUGUCAUGGUGAUACAUGCAAUAACAGUAUAAAUGCAGGCGUUGAUACCAAUGAAGAUAGUGAAUAUGAGACACAUACAAAAGCUAACGAUAAAGACGAAGAAACACCUACUGAAGAAGAAAACGAAGGAAGCUCAACUGUUAGAGACAGCAGUCCACUUGAUGAAAUUUAUAUUAACUUUGAAAAAUUUUAAUAUAAUUUUUGGAAUUGCAAAAUCUAUAUUUUUUUAUUUAUUAUAUAAUUAGAGAAUCAAUUACUCUUAGGAAGUUUCUUCAAAUUUUUUUAAUUGUAAUACAAUUUUGUAAUCUAUUAAAAAAAAAAAAU
RNA transcript from Harmonia axyridis, 704 nucleotides. RefSeq lists it as uncharacterized. Lineage: Eukaryota; Metazoa; Arthropoda; Insecta; Coleoptera; Coccinellidae. The record is from RefSeq and is a predicted model, not a curated record. The transcript has 2 exons.